UAGGGAAUCUUCCACAAUGGACGCAAGUCUGAUGGAGCAACGCCGCGUGAGUGAAGAAGGUUUUCGGACCGUAAAGCUCUGUUGUUGGUGAAGAAGGAUAGAGGUAGUAACUGGCCUUUAUUUGACGGUAAUCAACCAGAAAGUCACGGCUAACUACGUGCCAGCAGCCGCGGUAAUCGUAGGUGGCAAGCGUUGUCCGGAUUUAUUGGGCGUAAAGCGAGCGCAGGCGGAAGAAUAAGUCUGAUGUGAAAGCCCUCGGCUUAACCGAGGAAUUGCAUCGGAAACUGUUUUUCUUGAGUGCAGAAGAGGAGAGUAGAACUCCAUGUGUAGCGGUGGAAUGCGUAGAUAUAUGGAAGAAUACCAGUGGCGAAGGCGGCUCUCUGGUCUGCAACUGACGCUGAGGCUCGAAAGCAUGGGUAGCGAACAGGAUUAGAUACCCUGGUAGUCCAUGCCGUAAACGAUGAGUGCUAAGUGUUGGGAGGCUUCCGCCUCUCAGUGCUGCAGCUAACGCAUUAAGCACUCCGCCUGGGGGAGUACGACCGCAAGGU
This 548-nucleotide ribosomal RNA is filed under the name uncultured bacterium. Its description in RNAcentral is "partial 16S ribosomal RNA". It matches the Rfam family "Bacterial small subunit ribosomal RNA", at positions 355 to 894 of the family's 1533-position model. The record is from RNAcentral.